This is a long non-coding RNA of Homo sapiens (human), 3059 nucleotides long. RefSeq lists it as uncharacterized. The record is from RefSeq and is a predicted model, not a curated record. Lineage: Eukaryota; Metazoa; Chordata; Mammalia; Primates; Hominidae. The transcript has 3 exons.
AAUUUCAUAAUUAACAUUUUCAGGGUAAGAUGGAUAGGACAUCGCAGUUGCAAGGCUUUCAACAAAAGCCUGGAGAUACAUGAAAUAUUAUAUUGACGCUGGGAACACAGUUGAGAGCAAAGCAGAAGCACCGACCUUGAUAGAGUCUCCAUGAGGGUUUGAUACACAGUCUCUUCAGGAUCUCUGUAGAAGAAGAGAUCAGGCAUCCCCUCCCACAGGUGUUCACAGGAAAUGGUGCCACACAUGUGCAGAAGUUUCCAGGCCAGCAUCCACCACAUCAAACCCACUGAGUGAGCUCCCUUCUUGCAUGGGAUGGCAAUGUCCACAUAGCACAGCGGAGAAUCUGUAUUACGUGGAGCAAUGGUAUGUAAGUUAACAUAAGAUGCCUCUGUGAGAGGCAGUGGUCAGCCCUGGAAUCAGUAAAGAAAAGAUGCUGUGGCUCCUGGAAGGUUGCCUGGAUCUGGUUAGUGAAGAUUCCAGGAGUGAAGCGGCCAGCAAUUGGAGUGGCUCCAGUGGCAGCAGCAAACUUCAGUAUGGCCCUCUGGCCAGUAUUCCUGGAGGAUAUGACGCGGACAUCAGCAGGGUUUUCAAUGGCAACAAUGGCACAAGCUGCCAACAGAAGCUUCUCCCAGGUCCUCUUCAGAUUUAUGAUAUAGACGCCGUCACAUUUCUUUUUAUAAAUGUAUUGUUUCAUUUGGAAGUCAAGGUUGGUGCCACCUAAGUGGAUUCCUGCUGCAAGGAACUUAAGGACAUCCUCCUCCUCCAUUUGCAGGACAUCAAGGGCUCUGUACACUGUAAAAGUUUCCCUUUAAGUUACAACAGGAAUCUAGAACAUCGCCAUAUGGACCCCUCUCUGGGUAGCACAAAAAAGCCCAUUCUCUAGUUGAUAGAUAUUUGGGUUGUUUCCAGGAUUUGGCUAUUAUGAGUAAAACUGCUAUGAACAUCCAUGCAUAAGUCUUUUUGUGAACAUAGGCUUUCAUUUAUCUUGGGUAAAUGACCAGGAGUGGAAUUUUAGAUCACUUAGAAAGUAUGUGUUUCACUUUAUAAGGCACUGUCAGACUGUGUUACUAAGUUGAUGUACCAUUUUAUAAAUCCACCAGAAAUAUAUGAGCAGACCAGUUUUUUAAAAUCUUUGCCAAUCCUUGAUAUUGUCAAUAAUAUAAGUUUAAAAAGGGGAACAAUAAAAGUACUAGACAGAAAUGUAGAACAUAUUUUGUAAAAACAGAAUAAGAGAAAUUGUUUCUAAGUGAUAGUUGAAAGCUUGAUGUCAUAAAGAAAGCUUGACUCCAUAAAACAUAAAAUAACUACAUGACAAUAAUAAUGUCAAAUGAGAAGAGAAAAAAAUGUCUAAAAUAUUUGUCGGACAUAUUAAAUAUAUUAAUGUCCUUAUUUUUUAAAGAGCUCUUAUAAAUUAAUAUGUAAAAUACAUCGAUCCAGCAAAGGUGAAGAGCAGGCAGUUCAUAACAGAAAGAUAUUUUAAAGGUGUAUAAAGUUGUCCAAUUUCACUCAAAAUUAUUGAAAUAUGAAUUAAAACAAAAUAUGUCAUACUUCUAUCAAAUAAAAAGAUGAUUUUUGGCUAUGUACUGUGUUGGCAAGAGUUUUGGGAGAAAGAGCUUCUCAUACACUGUUAUUGGCUAUAUUAAUUUGUAUUUUCCCAUUGGACCACAGUUUACUGUAUACACAGUGCUUUGGGAAGUACUCUCUUAAAUGGGUUUUUCUUCUGCUCUCACACCACCACAAUAAUAAUCAACACAGAAGAAGACUUCUCUGACCAAAAGUGAGGGGUUUUUAACCAUACAACAAGCAGUGGACAACAGCUGGGUGUCCUCCUAUUCAGUACCAAUACUAUAUACCCAGAGACAGUGUCAGAUCCCACAGGUUAAUACUCAACACCAUAAGAUCAUCCUCUCCUUCCCUGAAGUCGCAAUUCCAGGCCUCUGGAACUUCUGACCAAUUGGCUUCAAGUUGGCGCUCCCACGAUCCCAUCUUUGAGAUUGAUUUAUUUGUUAGAGCAGCUCACAGAACUCAGGGAAUCAUAUUUACUGGCUUACUAUCAAGCAUAUUUUCCAAGAUACAAAUAAACAGCCAGAUGAAGAGAUACAUGGGGUGAGGUCUGGGAGGAUUUGUAAGUGCAGCAGCUUCUGUCCCUGUAGAGUUGGGGUGCACCAACUUCCUGGCAUGUGAAAGAGUUUUUCACCUUCCUGUCAUGCUCAAUGUGUUCAGCUCUCCAGAAGCUCCUGGAACUCCAUCCUUUGGGCCUUUUAUGGAGAAUUCAUUGGUUGUCAAUGAUUAAAGCAUGGACAACUAUGUCAAAAUGUGAUUGGACAAAAAGGAUGUGGCCUAAACUCAGCAAGCCUUGUCCAUUCAGAUUCUUCUUGAUCUCUCUGUACAGCAUUCCUUCCUCUGGAGUAGGGGGCAGGACCCUCUCUAGAAUGAGGGUUUUAUGACCUAUAAUUGGACUAUAGUCCUAUCUCGGGUGGGUAAAAGGAAGACAGAAGUUCAGAGAGAAAGCUUUUGUUUCCUCAGGCUUGCUUCUGAGCCCUAAAUUUCUCCAACAUUAUAACCAAGAUUGUGACAAUGAUUAUGAAAGUUACGAACUAGGAACCACAGAUGGAAAUGAAUCAUAAUAUCACACAGGCAUUAGGAUUUAAUGUUGAAUGUUUAUAAAGUGUAUUUUACAUAUAUUGCCUAAAUUUAUACUACCAACACCACAAGAAUUAGUUAUUUUAUAUUCUCAUUUUAAAAAUAAAAAACCUAGAGUUUAGAGAGAUGCCUUAUCCAGUCAGGUCAUAUAACUAGUAAGUGGCAUAGCUUGGUAUAGAGCCCUUAACUUUGAAUUUCAAGUUCAGUUACAUUUUCAUUAAUCAGAGUUGACUUACCUUGAAACACAUGUGUUUUGUACAUCAAUGCAUGUCACUAUUUCAUGCAAUGAAUGUAAAGAUGCUACAUUUUAUUACCUAGAUAAUGUGCUGGUUUUGUCCUAUUUCUAAGUUUGUAGAAUUGCUGUAGAAAUAUUGAGAACAUUCCUUUUUUUUCCUUAUUAAAAUCUUGAAGAGGUG